This 245-nucleotide ribosomal RNA is filed under the name uncultured Paenibacillus sp. Its description in RNAcentral is "partial 16S ribosomal RNA". It matches the Rfam family "Bacterial small subunit ribosomal RNA", at positions 1142 to 1382 of the family's 1533-position model. Lineage: Bacteria; Bacillati; Bacillota; Bacilli; Caryophanales; Paenibacillaceae. The record is from RNAcentral.
AAGGUGACUGCCGGGCUAAAAAGUCGGAGGAAGGUGGGGGAUGACGUCAAAUCAUCAUGCCCCUUAUGACCUGGGCUACACACGUGCUACAAUGGGCGGUACAAAGGGUCGCGAACCCGCGAGGGGGAGCCAAUCCCAAAAAAGCCGCUCUCAGUUCGGAUUGCAGGCUGCAACUCGCCUGCAUGAAGCCGGAAUCGCUAGUAAUCGCGGAUCAGCAUGCCGCGGUGAAUACGUUCCCGGGCCUU